This 503-nucleotide ribosomal RNA is filed under the name uncultured Lachnospiraceae bacterium. Its description in RNAcentral is "partial 16S ribosomal RNA". The record is from RNAcentral. Lineage: Bacteria; Bacillati; Bacillota; Clostridia; Lachnospirales; Lachnospiraceae.
CACGUAGUUAGCCGGGGCUUCUUAGUCAGGUACCGUCAUUAUCUUCCCUGCUGAUAGAGCUUUACAUACCGAAAUACUUCUUCACUCACGCGGCGUCGCUGCAUCAGGGUUUCCCCCAUUGUGCAAUAUUCCCCACUGCUGCCUCCCGUAGGAGUCUGGGCCGUGUCUCAGUCCCAAUGUGGCCGUUCACCCUCUCAAGCCGGCUACUGAUCGUCGCCUUGGUAGGCCGUUACCCCACCAACAAGCUAAUCAGACGCGGGUCCAUCUCACAGCGAUAAAUCUUUGAAAGGAUCGUCAUGCGGCAAUCCCUUGUUAUGCGGUAUUAGCAGCCGUUUCCGGCUGUUGUCCCCCUCUGUGAGGCAGGUUACCCACGCGUUACUCACCCGUCCGCCACUCAGUCAUUACCAUCUUCCCUCCGAAAAGUUCCGUCGGUAGCGCUUCGUUCGACUUGCAUGUGUUAAGCACGCCGCCAGCCGUUCAUCCUGAGCCAGGAUCAAACUCUC